This 343-nucleotide unclassified non-coding RNA is filed under the name soil metagenome. RNAcentral's name for it is "partial contains 5.8S ribosomal RNA, internal transcribed spacer 2, and large subunit ribosomal RNA". The stretch from base 1 to 120 matches the Rfam family "5.8S ribosomal RNA", at positions 35 to 154 of the family's 154-position model. The record is from RNAcentral.
GAUGAAGAACGCAGCGAAAUGCGAUAAGUAAUGUGAAUUGCAGAAUUCAGUGAAUCAUCGAAUCUUUGAACGCACAUUGCGCCCGCUAGUAUUCUGGCGGGCAUGCCUGUCCGAGCGUCAUUUCAACCCUCAAGCCCCCGGGCUUGGUGUUGGGGAUCGGCGAGCCUCCGCGCCCGCCGUCCCCUAAAUCUAGUGGCGGUCUCGCUGUAGCUUCCUCUGCGUAGUAGCACACCUCGCACUGGGAAACAGCGCGGCCACGCCGUUAAGCCCCCAACUUCUGAACGUUUGACCUCGGAUCAGGUAGGAAUACCCGCUGAACUUAAGCAUAUCAAUAAGCGGAGGA